UGGUAGUCCUAGCCGUAAACGAUGACCACUAGGCGUGGGAGGGAUCGACCCCUUCCGUGCCGCAGCUUACGCAGGAAGUGGUCCGCCUGGGGAGUACGGUCGCAAGAUUAAAACUCAAAGGAAUUGACGGGGACCCGCACAAGCAGCGGAGCGUGUGGUUUAAUUCGAUGCAACGCGAAGAACCUUACCAGGGUUUGACAUGCAACUGCACCACCCGUCACGGGGUGUCCCGCAAGGGCGGUUGCACAGGUGCUGCAUGGCUGUCGUCAGCUCGUGUCGUGAGAUGUUGGGUUCAGUCCCGCAACGAGCGCAACCCUUGCCGUUAGUUGAAAGAUCUAGCGGGACCGCCGCGAUCAACGCGGAGGAAGGCGGGGAUGACGUCAAGUCAGCACGGCCCUUACACCCUGGGCUACACACACGCUACAAUGGUCGGGACAACGGGCCGCCAACCCGCGAGGGGGAGCCAAUCCCAUCAAACCCGGCCUCAGUUCAGAUUGCAGGCUGCAACCCGCCUGCAUGAAGGUGGAGUUGCUAGUAACCGUCGGUCAGCACACGACGGUGAAUACGUUCCCGGGUCUUGUACUCACCGCCCGUC
Molecule: ribosomal RNA, 595 nt
Filed under: uncultured bacterium
Lineage: Bacteria
Description: bacterial SSU rRNA
Rfam family: Bacterial small subunit ribosomal RNA
Source: RNAcentral